GACGAACGCUGGCGGCGUGCCUAAUACAUGCAAGUAGAACGCUGAAGAGAGGAGCUUGCUCUUCUUGGAUGAGUUGCGAACGGGUGAGUAACGCGUAGGUAACCUGCCUUGUAGCGGGGGAUAACUAUUGGAAACGAUAGCUAAUACCGCAUAACAAUGGAUGACACAUGUCAUUUAUUUGAAAGGGGCAAUUGCUCCACUACAAGAUGGACCUGCGUUGUAUUAGCUAGUAGGUGAGGUAAUGGCUCACCUAGGCGACGAUACAUAGCCGACCUGAGAGGGUGAUCGGCCACACUGGGACUGAGACACGGCCCAGACUCCUACGGGAGGCAGCAGUAGGGAAUCUUCGGCAAUGGGGGCAACCCUGACCGAGCAACGCCGCGUGAGUGAAGAAGAUUUUCGGAUCGUAAAGCUCUGUUGUAAGUCAAGAACGGGUGUGAGAGUGGAAAGUUCACACUGUGACGAUAGCUUACCAGAAAGGGACGGCUAACUACGUG
RNAcentral lists this ribosomal RNA (497 nucleotides) under uncultured bacterium. Its description in RNAcentral is "partial 16S ribosomal RNA". It matches the Rfam family "Bacterial small subunit ribosomal RNA", at positions 28 to 507 of the family's 1533-position model. The record is from RNAcentral.